This 2815-nucleotide long non-coding RNA is filed under the name Lingula anatina. Its description in RNAcentral is "uncharacterized LOC106165249, transcript variant X3". The record is from RNAcentral. Lineage: Eukaryota; Metazoa; Brachiopoda; Lingulata; Lingulida; Lingulidae.
CUUCCGGUUGCCGGAUUUUAAACAGCAUGCGAGAAAAAAUGAAAGUAGAAUUGGUCAGGGUGACUCAGACAUACGUCCAUGUUUCACAUCAUAUCCAAGACCAAGACUGCCAUCUCUGACAUACAGAUUUUGAGGUGUGAUUCCCCUCCCCCUGGAGAUAGUUGUCUGGUCAAGCACAGGCUGCAGUUAAUGAAUGGAACCAUGCAGGACCAGGCAUGUGAACAUCAGGUUUCAGGAGAAAGGAAGACUGGAGUAUGAAGGAGAAGUAUAAACCUGGAAAUUUUUGCUGUGUUCAAGAAAAGAAGAAAUCAGUGUGACCCACACCUACUAGUAAUCCCACGAGUAGAAACUCUGUGAUAUUCCCCACGUGCACACAGACCCACCAUGAAUAGGAAAUCAAAUCCAUCAUUGUCAAGCUCUCCCCAUGCAGUAAUAAGCCGACCAGAACCAUCCAGGAACUAUAUCAGGGGAAACUACACCAUAUGAUGCUCAGAGUACAAGAAACCAAUGGCUGCUACUUCCUGUCAUCCUCCUUAUCCUGGUUCAGGGCACAUGAUGCACAAGGCAGGCUAGAUUCAUGCGUAAAAUGCACAAUUAUCCGUCAGGUUGCAUAAUUAGAUGAUAUCACUGAAAAUGAAGCAUACAACCAGAAAAGAAGAUGCUCCUUGUGAGAGAUGGAGGGAACAAGAGAGAUGGAGAGAGAGGGGUGAAGGAGAGUAAAGCCAAGAGGACUGCACCUGCAGGAUGCCACUGUAAUUUAAAGGUGUUGUGUCCCCAGAAGCCAAGUUUUACUGCCAGUGUGUGAAUAAGGAGAACAUCCAUAUGUCAGUGACAGCAAAAAGGAAAAGCAAAGGAAAAUCACUGCAUAUCCAUAGAAGGAAAAUGAAAGCACCAGUGAAACCAGAUAUGCAAUGUGUGAAUAAGGAGAACAUCCAUAUGUCAAUGACAGCAAAAAGAAAAAGCAAAGGAAAAUCACUGCAUAUCCACAGGAGGAAAAUGAAAGCACAGGUUAAUCAUUUAUGUGACAAGUGAAAUGUUAAAAAACUUUCAUGGUGUGUAUCUUCAUGGAUGGGAAGUAAAUCACCAAAGGUUCAUUACCUUGAGUGGUAUCAAUGUUGCAAAAAUGAAAGUGAAACCUGAUUUGAAAAGGAUAGCCAUGGAAUACUUAAAAAAGGCAGCCACUUUUUGGAUACAUAAUUAGAAAAUGAUCAGGUUCAUUAUCUUGAGCAUUAUCAAGGUUGCAAAACAAGAAAAGGAAACCAAAUUUGAAUAGGAGAGCCACAGAAUACUUUAAACAGCAACCACUUUUUGGAUACAAAAUUGGAAGAUGGUAUAUUAGAGAAUCUCAAAUUCUUCCAGGAGAAAUUUGUGAAAAGGAUACAUAAUGAGGAAGUUAAAGACCUGUUCUAAAAACGUGGAUAUAUACUGGCAACAUGAGAGGAAAACAUUUUCUGGUUAUGUUAUUAUACCACAUGAGCUGACUACCUUUCAACAUGGGAUACGUCUUUCUGAUGAACCUUAGUUUGCAGGCUGAACUACAGUGGUUUGACUGUCUCAGACUUGUCCUGAUUUGUAUAUGAAUUGCAUGUGUAGCACAUAGGAUGAUUGACUAAAAUACCAUCAGAAUGCCAGAAAAAAUAUUCUGCAUAAUGCAUAACAUUUGCUUAAUUACAGAGGUUGCAAAGCCUGAUGCAAUUUGGUUGUUUUUACCUGGAUAUACCUAAGUAUUUGUUUUUCCCUUGUUAUUUGUUGUUUCCAGACAGUGCCAAGAUAACUACUUGAUCUUUGUUUCCAUAACACAAUGCAGCAUAGUAGUAGCAUGGAUAAUCUAACAAGUCAUAUUGUUUUAAAGUAUAGUUGGUCUUUCUCAACAACAGUAAUUGAGUUCAAUUGUCCAACAACAGUGUCAAGAACUUAGAAGUGAAAGGAUGGCAGCAAAAUGCCUUAUCUGGUCAAUGGCUUUAACUGGACUUGGGGAAUUUGAAAGCACAAUAUGCCAUAUUCCAGGUUAACCACACACAUUUGGUACCUUCCACAGCUUUUCGGAGGUGCUGUCCCUUUUGCACAACAGAAACAGUCUUUGAAAUGCACGUACUUGAUCAUGGAGCUGCACUCGUCACUACCCUGGCUAUAACAUACCAGAUUUGAAGAAUCAUCACACAAAUGGCUAACACAUCACAGGCAGCCAUUGAUGUAGCUAUCCAGAAAUGCCUCUUGUCCAUGUCCUUUCUGUUACAUGUGGGACUGCUUGGAAAGCCUAAAAUAAUGUGAGACAUUAGCCCCUUACAUAAUGUCCACUGCCUAUAUCUUUUGUUGGAGACCUGCCAAAGAAAAUGGUGAUUGCUGGACCCUGCUGAACAGUGCUGGACACUGGCCUCAAAGGUCAUUUCCCAGUGAAUUUUUACAAAAAGUUACAUUGUUUGUCAUUGGCCUUUGGAGAUGUCCAGGUCCUGUGGGCAGUUGAACAGUUUUACCAGGAAAGGCCUUUCUGACCCUUUCAUUGGUCAGUGUCCACUCUGGCUUAAUUGGCAAAAGAUUGUCUCAAGGGUUGCCACACCCAGGAACUUUGUGCUGUGUCAUGUUGACUCUGUCGUCCUUUACACUGGCUACAGUAUGUCAUAUUUAUUUGUUUCUGAGCCAGAUGUCAUGUUUUCUAGUAUGCCACUUGUUUUUUCACGACUGUGACACUGUUUGUGUGUCAUGACAAGUCCAUAUGACACUUUCCAUAGCAUGCCAUAUACUGCAUCAUUUGCUUCUGAACAUUGUCAAAGUAUGGCCAUUGACACAUUGCUGUUGUCACACAGUGACAUCUGCC